GAUGAACGCUGGCGGCGUGCCUAAUACAUGCAAGUCGAGCGAACAGACGAGGAGCUUGCUCCUCUGACGUUAGCGGCGGACGGGUGAGUAACACGUGGAUAACCUACCUAUAAGACUGGGAUAACUUCGGGAAACCGGAGCUAAUACCGGAUAAUAUAUUGAACCGCAUGGUUCAAUAGUGAAAGACGGUUUUGCUGUCACUUAUAGAUGGAUCCGCGCCGCAUUAGCUAGUUGGUAAGGUAACGGCUUACCAAGGCAACGAUGCGUAGCCGACCUGAGAGGCUGAUAGGCGGCACUGGAACGGAGACACGGUCAAGACUCCUGCGGGAGGCAGCAGUAGGGAAUCUUCCGCAAUGGGCGAAAGCCUGACGGAGCAACGCCGCGUGAGUGAUGAAGGUCUUCGGAUCGUAAAGCUCUGUUAUUGGGGAAGAACAAAUGUGUAAGUAGCUAUGCACGUCUUGACGGUACCUAAUCAGAAAGCCACGGCUAACUACGUG
Molecule: ribosomal RNA, 497 nt
Filed under: uncultured bacterium
Lineage: Bacteria
Description: partial 16S ribosomal RNA
Rfam family: Bacterial small subunit ribosomal RNA
Source: RNAcentral